UACGGAGGGUGCAAGCGUUAUCCGGAUUCACUGGGCUUAAAGGGAGCGCAGGCGGAUUGGUAAGUCAGUGGUGAAAGGCUUAAGCUUAACUUGGGAACUGCCAUUGAUACUAUCAGUCUUGAAUGUUGUUGAGGUUUGCGGAAUGGGUCAUGUAGCGGUGAAAUGCAUAGAUAUUGCACAGAACACCAAUUGCGAAGGCAGCUCGCUAAGCUGUAACUGACGCUGAGGCACGAAAGUGUGGGUAGCAAACAGG
RNAcentral lists this ribosomal RNA (253 nucleotides) under uncultured bacterium. RNAcentral's name for it is "partial 16S ribosomal RNA". It matches the Rfam family "Bacterial small subunit ribosomal RNA", at positions 524 to 776 of the family's 1533-position model. The record is from RNAcentral.